GACUGACAUUUACAACCCUUAAACACAGGGAAGGAAGAACAUGUAUUUGGUACCUACUUCACAGGGUAUUACAAAGCACCAUAGAAAUGCAAAUGAGUAGCAUUAUCAUUUUUCAUCAUUAUGACUUUAUUUUUUAUUCCAGGCAAACCUCUUACUUUUAUUUUUUCCUGAUUUUCUCAGAAUUAUAACAUCAGAUUGAAAUUUGAAAUAUCCAACAUAGCUUCCAUGUAGAGCCACAUUCUAAAGGCAGAGAGCCUUUAGCAAGAAUAAGAACAAGAGAAUUGGCUUUCUUCCAGAAUUUCUUGAGCUAUGACCUGUUUCCAAGAUGGUAUCAUUAUAUUCUAAGGAUACUAUCUUCUUCAUACAAACAUGUCUGGACACAAGAGAUAAUCUACAAGAAAACUGGAGGAUCAUUUCUCUCUUUGGAUUUCAUGGAAAUGAAGAAUCAAAGAGGAAAUGGGAAAAAUCUAUGAAAAGAAUUAUGAAUAUGGCAUGAUUCUCUCUUGUGAUUAGGAUGAAGAAUUUUGACCAAAGAAUGCUAUGAAAAACAGAAUUAAAGAAAGGAAGGUAAAAUUUAUUUUGGAUAGUGCAUCUAGCAUAAGCUAAAUUAAACACAUUUCUCUAAGCUGAGCAUAGGCUGCUGUGUGUCCAGGGGAGCUCAUAAUCAGAACUUCAGUUGGGGAAAAUAUUACUUCCCUUUCAGGGAAGGGUAAGGAUAAAAUACAAAUGAUUUAUAUAGGUCUGUGGAGGGUAGGGAUGGUGCCGGGAGGGUGGAAGCUGCUGGGUGAUGUCAGGUUCUUUUUGCCAGCAGAAGCUCACUUUAUCUUUCCCAAGGCCAUUCAUUUACUGAGGGAAAAUUCCAUACUAGACAGCCAUUUUUCAGGGAGACUGUGAAUGUUCUUGGAUUUUCCAGCUGGAUUGUUUUGGGUCAAAGGACAGAUCAAAGGUUGUUCACACCUAUUUUUUUGGCUCCAAGCAUGUAGUAGAAAUUUCUUGUCCAUUUUGUGAUGCCAAAGGAAAAUUCUUCUCACUUCUCCCAGUCUGUGGAAAUGAAAACAAGGAAAAGCAAAUGUAUACCGGACCAAAAAAACCUCAUACU
This 1099-nucleotide long non-coding RNA is filed under the name Monodelphis domestica (gray short-tailed opossum). Its description in RNAcentral is "lncRNA (ENSMODG00000047237.1)". Lineage: Eukaryota; Metazoa; Chordata; Mammalia; Didelphimorphia; Didelphidae. The record is from RNAcentral.